RNAcentral lists this unclassified non-coding RNA (299 nucleotides) under plant metagenome. Its description in RNAcentral is "partial contains 5.8S ribosomal RNA, internal transcribed spacer 2, and large subunit ribosomal RNA". The stretch from base 1 to 105 matches the Rfam family "5.8S ribosomal RNA", at positions 50 to 154 of the family's 154-position model. The record is from RNAcentral.
GAAAUGCGAUAAGUAAUGUGAAUUGCAGAAUUCAGUGAAUCAUCGAAUCUUUGAACGCACAUUGCGCCCCCUGGUAUUCCGGGGGGCAUGCCUGUUCGAGCGUCAUUUCACCACUCAAGCCUCGCUUGGUAUUGGGCGACGCGGUCCGCCGCGCGCCUCAAAUCGACCGGCUGGGUCUUCCGUCCCCUCAGCGUUGUUGAAACUAUUCGCUAAAGGGUGCCGCGGGAGGUCACGCCGCAAAACAACCCCAUUUCUAAGGUUGACCUCGGAUCAGGUAGGGAUACCCGCUGAACUUAAGC